This 259-nucleotide ribosomal RNA is filed under the name uncultured prokaryote. RNAcentral describes it as "partial 16S ribosomal RNA". It matches the Rfam family "Bacterial small subunit ribosomal RNA", at positions 524 to 782 of the family's 1533-position model. The record is from RNAcentral.
UACGGAGGAUGCGAGCGUUAUCCGGAUUUAUUGGGUUUAAAGGGUGCGCAGGCGGAAGAUUAAGUCGGUGGUGAAAUUUUGCAGCUCAACUGUAAAAGUGCCAUUGAUACUGGUUUUCUUGAGUGUGGAUGAAGUAGGCGGAAUUUGUGGUGUAGCGGUGAAAUGCAUAGAUAUCACGAGGAACUCCGAUUGCGCAGGCAGCUUACUAAACCAUAACUGACGCUCAGGCACGAAGGCGUGGGGAUCAAACAGGAUUAGA